Small nuclear RNA from Hippopotamus amphibius kiboko, 107 nucleotides. NCBI's taxonomy places the organism in Eukaryota, Metazoa, Chordata, Mammalia, Artiodactyla, Hippopotamidae. The record is from RefSeq and is a predicted model, not a curated record.
GUGCUUGCUUCAUCAGCACAUACACUAAAACUGAAAUGAUACAGAGAAGAUUAGCAUGGCCCCUGAACAAGGAUGACACGCAAAUUUGUGAGGUGUUCCAUAUAUAA